RNAcentral lists this ribosomal RNA (445 nucleotides) under uncultured bacterium. Its description in RNAcentral is "partial 16S ribosomal RNA". It matches the Rfam family "Bacterial small subunit ribosomal RNA", at positions 354 to 796 of the family's 1533-position model. The record is from RNAcentral.
GUGAGGAAUAUUGGACAAUGGGCGCAAGCCUGAUCCAGCCAUGCCGCGUGCAGGAAGACGCAUCUAUGGUGUGUAAACUGCUUUUGUACGGGAAGAAACACUCCCUCGUGAGGGAGCUUGACGGUACCGUAAGAAUAAGGAUCGGCUAACUCCGUGCCAGCAGCCGCGGUAAUACGGAGGAUCCAAGCGUUAUCCGGAAUCAUUGGGUUUAAAGGGUCCGUAGGCGGUAUAAUAAGUCAGUGGUGAUAGCCCAUCGCUCAACGAUGGAACUGCCAUUGAUACUGUUAGACUUGACUUACAAGAAAGUAGCUAGAAUAUGUAGUGUAGCGGUGAAAUGCUUAGGUAUUACAUGGAAUACCAAUUGCGAAGGCAGGUUACUACUUGUGGAUUGACGCUGAUGGACGAAAGCGUGGGGAGCGAACAGGAUUAGAAGCCCGGGUAGUCC